This 848-nucleotide ribosomal RNA is filed under the name Metus conglomeratus. Its description in RNAcentral is "SSU rRNA". It matches the Rfam family "Bacterial small subunit ribosomal RNA", at positions 348 to 1232 of the family's 1533-position model. The record is from RNAcentral. Lineage: Eukaryota; Fungi; Ascomycota; Lecanoromycetes; Lecanorales; Cladoniaceae.
UUAGCAGUGAGGAAUAUUGGUCAAUAGCCUAACGGCUGAACCAGCAAUUUGGAAGAAUGUUUAGCACCUUUAAACAGUAAGUGCGAAAUUGAUUAAAUCAAAUAAAAUUCUAGGUAGACUUAUGAUAAUGACAAAGCCUACCUAAGUCUUGACCAAAUUACGUGCCAGCAGUCGCGGUAAUACGUAAAAGACUAGUGUUAUUCAUCUUUAAUUGGUUUAAAGGGUACCUAGACAGUAAAUAAAGCCUUAGUGGGAACUAAUUUGCUAGAGUUACUUAUAAGGGGGUAUUAAAGUACUGCAGGUGUAGAGAUGAAAUUUUAUUAUACCUCUUUUCACAAGAAAAACUAUGGCACAGGUAUAGGUGAAAACAUCCCCUUAUGUGAUAACUGACGUUGAAGGACGAAGGCUUUGUAUCGCGAACAGGAUUAGAUACCCCAGUAGUCAAAGCAGAAAAUGAUGAAUGUCAUAGAUUAGAAAAAUAAUUUAUUCUAUAAACGAAAGUGUAAGCAUUCCACCUCAAGAGUAAUUUGGCAACAUUGGAACUGAAAUCAUUAGACCGUUUCUGAAACCAGUAGUGAAGUAUGUCGUUUAAUUUGAUACCACGCAAAAAACCUUACCACAAUUUGAAUAUAUAUACAUAUCUUUUAUUGAUUUAAGAUAGUAUAUUUACAAGCGUUGCACGGCUGUCUUCAGUUAAUGUCGUGAGAUUUUGGUUAGUUCCAUUAAAUUAACGUAAACCUUUACUUUAUUUUUAUAUAAAGUAGUUCUCCAUUAUAUUGGAUAUGAUAACAGGGACUAAGACAAGUCAUCAUGGCCUAAAUAUUGUGGGCUAUAGACGUGCCCCAUAA